Long non-coding RNA from Lolium perenne, 517 nucleotides. RefSeq lists it as uncharacterized. NCBI's taxonomy places the organism in Eukaryota, Viridiplantae, Streptophyta, Magnoliopsida, Poales, Poaceae. The record is from RefSeq and is a predicted model, not a curated record.
UAACACAUUAUAUUUUGCUCACCGUAUGUCAAAAUUUUAACUAAUGACUACAUAUUGAAACGUGCGUAGGUUUCACUUUAUUCUUCUCGUCAUCAAUUUGGAAAUUGGAGAAGUUGAAGUCUUGGACUCACUAACCAAAGAAAAGGAUCUAUACGUGUCUUGUUUUUUAAUGCUCAGAAGCGUAUGGCAAACUUUCAUCAAGGAAGAUACGUCCCGUGAAUGGCCACCGAAGCUGCGAUGGCGUGCGAAAAAAUGCCCGCAACAACCUCCGGGGACCGAUCUCUGUGGAUUCUUCGUUUGCGAGUUCAUCCGCAGAAUUGUCAACGAGAGAACGAAUAAUGAGAGAAAUAAAGAGGUACAAAAACAAUCUUCACAAAUUUGUUUUGUUAUCAUAAGUUGUGCCGAGUUUCAGUAAUAGUUGUUUCAUGUAUUCAUUUGUAUCUUAUUCUUUUAUAGUUGGCAAGAAAGCGGAACAAGCUCUCAAUCGAUGACCGCUUCAUAGCAAUAGGCGAGGAAU